UACGUAGGGGGCAAGCGUUGUCCGGAUUUAUUGGGCGUAAAGAGCGUGUAGGCGGCCAGGGAGGUCCGUUGUGAAAACUCGAGGCUCAACCUCGAGACGCCGAUGGAAACCCUCGCGUAGAGUCCGGAAGAGGAGAGUGGAAUUCCUGGUGUAGCGGUGAAAUGCGCAGAUAUCAGGAAGAACACCCGUGGCUAAGGCGGCUCUCUAGUACGGUACUGACGCUGAGACGCGAAAGCGUGGGGAGCGAACAGG
This 252-nucleotide ribosomal RNA is filed under the name uncultured bacterium. RNAcentral's name for it is "partial 16S ribosomal RNA". It matches the Rfam family "Bacterial small subunit ribosomal RNA", at positions 524 to 776 of the family's 1533-position model. The record is from RNAcentral.